UCCAGGAACACAGACAAGUGAAGGGCAAA
This 29-nucleotide non-coding RNA is filed under the name Homo sapiens (human). The record is from RNAcentral. Lineage: Eukaryota; Metazoa; Chordata; Mammalia; Primates; Hominidae.